UGGCAUUUCCUAUGAGUGUCUGGCUGGUGAAGCUUCAUCUGCUGAGGUUGGACAGGGUGCCUAUGUGACCAGUAAGGAGAAGGUACAGCAAAUAUUUCCUUCUUGUGGAUUGUGCAGAUACCCCAUUUUGUUCACAGCAGACAUGAUUGUGAUGGGCAGGCUCACAGAGAGCAUUGUGGCCAAUGAGAAGUAAGAACAAUGGUGAUAUAGAGGAUGGCCCAGUGAGGUCAAUGCAGUAUCAGCCUAUCUGGUCCAUCUGGACACCAGUGCGAUGCCACAGUGGAUGCAACUUGGAGCAUCUGAUCACCUCACCCUCUGGAAUGCCUCCAGAAUCAGUGAUGGGAGGCAAGCCAUGGCAGAAACACUGGAACAACACAUCAUCUUCCCCUGAGUGAUCAGUUCAAGACGAGGGUGAUGGUAGCGGCAGCAGUGGUGGCCAAAAUGGACCAGCUGUUCAGAUAGCCACAAAGCCCUAGGAUAUUCUGGAGUUUUCUUCAAAUGUUGGAGUAUCUCCUAACUUUGUUUAGUCAGAACAAAGUUGGAUUAAGGGUAAAAAGUCAGGAUACUUCCUGAAAAUUCCUGCGCAUUGUAAAAACAGUGCUGGAAUCAGAUGAGAUAAAGUGGAAAAGAGAAUACCAGUACCUACCAUCUUGAGCUCAUUGCAGGAAAGGUACAACAGAAAUGAAAUAAAGGGCAUGUCAUAAUCACUGCAGGAGGUUCUGCCAAAGGAGACUUAAAGUGGCUCUAGGAAUCUCUAGGUCCUCCAGAAUGGCUCUAUCAUCAUCUUCAAUAAUGCUUGCUUUAGUCAAGCCUGAUGGAAAAGAAGAAAAAUACUUACCAGAUCGUGAGAAGGUAGCCAUCCUAAUUUCCUUGAAAGACCUGAACAGGGAAUCCCCAGCACCACCUUCCUUCAUUUUUCCCCUCCAGAAAGGCCCAGCACCAUUUCAAAGCAGAACUUCCAAGUCCAUCUCAAUGGCACAGCCUAGAAGGAUACCAUGGGUAUCUGACCACUACUGGAUGGUACAGCACAACCAACAGGGACCAACACAGCCACUCAGUUCCCAACAAAGCUCACACAACAAAAUGACCAAAGCCAUCUACAUUCCAUAACCAAGCCAAAAGCCAAAUUCCUCAGAUGGAUUUAGAUAAUCUGACUCAUCCAGGAAUUCACGUAGCUGCUCUCUUUAUUAGAUAAAGUGCUUUGUGCCCCUGAUGCUAUAUAAUUUCUAUUUACUCCUGCAGCUCGUCAAUCAAAAGAUCAUACUAGCAACUUUGCAGGCCUUAAUUUAGCUAAUUGUGCAUUGUGGUUUAGCAAACUUUGGCUUAAUGGCUUGUUGAAGUUGCCCAAUGCAGAUAGUUUUACUUUCAUUUCAGCCAAGGGUUGUAGUGUGGUAGAUUAUGUUCUGGUAUCUGCACACCUUUUGAGCUCAAAUUCCCAGUUUGUCAUUGAUGAUUUUGCCAUAAGAGACCAUCUUCCUUUAGUGUUGUAUUUUCUUGUUGGCUCUAUUUCAAGCUUUGAAUCUGCAAAAUGCGAAUCAUAUACACAUUUGAAAUUGUCAUCACAAACUGAGGCCACUUUUAAGGCCUUUAUAGAACAGCCUCCUGUUCUAUGGGAUAUAGUCAUUGCAAAUAGCCCAGUAACUGUGUUGGGGCUAUUUGAUAACCCAAUUAUCUUGUUGGCAAACUCUCUUACAAGCAAUCCUCAAGACAUUCAAAUAAUCCUGGGUUUGAUAUGAAUUGUAUUGAAAUUAACCAACAAAUAAGACUCCUGUACAGGAAAUUCUGAAGAUCUAAGUCUGGAGGGGAUCUUGCUAACCUUCAGAAUCCUAAAUGCAACUCCAAAGUUGUAUCCAACUUAAGCAGCAAUCAUUAGCAGAAUUUAAGUCCAUCUGUAACAAACAAUUCUAAGCAGUUUUGGUAUUUGGUCAAUGGACUAAGUAGAACUCUUAAUGCUUACAAAUGUGGAAGCCUGCAAGUCAGUCAAAAGCAGACUUUUGGAUCUUGACUUUCAUAUUCUGAUUCUUGCAACAAAGAUAACUUGUUCCCCUACCAUAUCAUUAAUUCCAUAUGAGUGUGGAGUCAUGGUAGUAUAUCUUUGCAUUUUGAUUAAUCCCACCCAGAGGAGAGCUUUGGUGAUCACAAUAUAUAAUGUGUUGCCAUCAGCUCUUUUGGAUGGGAGAUAUAAAAACAUGGAAUAUUCCAAAAGGGUUUGUUCUUGUGACUUGGUCUCUUUUGAAACAUUUCCCCAUUCUCUGUUAAUUUGCCCCAAAUAUGAUAACAUAAGGAUGCAAUACAAGAAUUCCUUUUUUUCAUGGUGUUCUCAAUGGCAAGGGUGUUAUAAAAUUCCAUAUCUUUUGAAUAGUUCUGAUGUAUUCUUUUGUGAGACUGUUGCCAAUUUUAUUCUUGAGAUUAAUAUUUUUUAUGUACAGUAGAAUCUUGCUUAUCCAACCUUCUCUCAUCCAAUGUUCUGUAUUAUUCAACACAUUCUGCCUUUUAAUAGUCAGUGUUUUCAAUAUAUUGUGAUAUUUUGGUGCUAAAUUUGUAAAAUCAUAAGGUAAUUUGAUGUUUAAUAGGCAUUUCCUUAAUCCUUCAUUAUCCAACAUUUUCACUUAUUCAACAUUCUGCCAGCCCGUUUAUGUUGGAUAAGUGAGACUAUACUGUAUGUUUUCCUUUUUAUUUGUGACUUCCUCUUAUUGUAUAUGCCUGUGCUAUGAUUUUGUUGUAUGCCAGUAAAAGCUAUGUGUGUAUGAUGUAGCUGAAAUGCCACCUUGCCCCAAAAUUGAAGACCAGUUUGUGGUUACUCUUUUCAGGAGGAUUGGGGUGGGGGGCUUUAUUAGUUUUAUUUAAAAAUCUGUCCUUUCCUCAGCAAUGUAUAUACAUUCUCUUCUAUUUUUAACUUCAGUUUUGGGAGGGCCAGAAAUGUGUUCUUUAAUAGGAGAGGCCAAUCAAGACUUUUGACAACUAUGAAUCUGUAUAUAUAUAGUCACCAGGAUGAUGAUGAUGAUGAUGAUGAUGAUGAUGAUGAUGAUGAUGAUGAUGAAUUUUAUUUCUAACCCACCCUUUCUCCCCAAAGGGACUUGGGGCAGUUUACAUAUAUGAAUGCCAAAUACAUAUCCAAUGCCAUAUACAAUCAUAAAACAGAAGCAAAUAUACAUAAAACAUAACAAGUUAAAUGAUAAUCCCAUAACUAAAUGAUAAAAAAGAUAAAUACAGAUCACAAUUAAAAGCGCAUAUAAAAUAAGCUCUACGAAAAAGGAGAUGUUUGGGCCUUUUAAAAUGCUGUUCAGAUGGAAUCUAGAGAUAUAACAUAUAGUGGCCCUACAGAGAUGGUAGUUGCUUUGAUUCCUUUAUCUACUCACAAGUAUUGUAGCUUAGAUAAAUAUACACAUCAUUACACAAUAUGAAAUUUAGUUAAUUCAUGCUACAUAUGUAUAGUGUUGCCCAGCUGAAUAUGGGACUAGACUCCCAUACCUCAGAUAGUAGAGAAGUGUCCAGCUGUAAUGAGGGUGUUGUGAAGAGGCAUGAGGAUGAACAUGUUGCAUAAUUCACCCUCACAGGAAUUAUCAUUACAGUAGAGUCUCACUUAUCCAACACUCACUUAUCCAACGUUCUGGAUUAUCCAACGCAUUUUUCUAGUCAAUGUUUUCAAAAUAUCAUGAUAUUUUGGUGCUAAAUUUGUAAAUACAGUAAUUACUGCAUAGCAUUAAUGUGUAAUGAACUACUUUUUCUGUCAAAUUUGUUGUAUAACAUGAUGUUUUGGUGCUUAAUUUGUAAAAUUAUAACCUAUUUUGUUGUUUGAUAGGCUUUUUCUUAAUCUCUCCUUAUUAUCCAACAUAUUCGCUUAUCCAACAUUCUGCCGGCCCGUUUAUGUUGGAUAAGUGAGACUCUACUGUACAUCUUUCUUCUCCAGGAUCUAUUAACUGUUUUUAAAAAAACCAGCAGGAACCAUCAAUAGAGCAAAACCCAGCAACCCUAUGCACAUAUCCUUAUUUGAAUUUCCAUGUCUGAAAAGCAUACCCUAGUACAUCACGCAAAGUGCUACUAAAAUUUCUAUUUUCUUGCUACUUUUUCUAAAACAAACCAAAGACUGCUGUGCACCUCAGACAGCCAAAUGCACAUUUGUUUAUUUAUUGGUUCAAAAACAUUCUUGUUUCUCUUGAUCAAUGCAGUUGUGAUGGAAGAGAAACCUAAAUUGCAAGGUUUCGGCAAAUGGGUUUGUUUUUAAAAACAGUUUCGAUUAGUUGGCCUAUUUUCAAAUGGGUAGUCCACAAAAAGACACCUGCAAAUAUACAUAGAGGCUAGCCUUGUAUAUGCUGUGUGUAUACUACUCAUCUACCACCCAAGCAGUUUAUCAUUACUUUGGCAACUUACUCACAAUGGGGGGAAAAGUGAUUUUAAGUUAAUGUUACAGCUCAAGCUGUUUGGAGACAGAGCUCCAAGUGAGCCAUUAUGAAGGGCUGUUUGAUGAACCUUGUGUAAUGGCUAAAGAGCAGCUUGCAAAAUGCCACUCCAUUCUUGUCACUGCUUAUUAGUGUCAGCAUGGAGAAGGGGAGGCACUAUUCUGGAUUAUCUUUGUAGAUGAGGUCUUUUUUCCAGGUGGUCAAAUGCUAAUGAACAACAACAAGAAAAAAGUAAGGAAGGCAAUCAGAUGGUACUGACACAUGAGGAUGGAUCUAACUAGAUGUGGCAUCAUAUGCCAAUGAAAAGAGGUAAAAAAAUCACUGCUGAUUUAGGUUUGGUGGACCAAGGAUGGCUGCAUAAAUGUGAACUUGAUAACAAUUAUUUUAUGCUCUUUGAGCCCCGUCUCAGUUUAUAAAAGUCUUGCUUUACUUUUCAAACUGUGAUUUAAAAUAACUUGGUAUAAUAAAGCAACACUGGGAAGAUCCUGGUUCUAAUCCCAAUGGAGUAAUCAAAUGCACUGAGAGCCUGGAAGUUACCUCUAUUUAUUUUAUUUCUUGAUUCCAAUUUCUUGAUCAACAUUCAAUCUAAAACAUUACAUUAACUCUCAAUUAAAUUGGAACUAUCACAGGAGAAAACCAAAGUGUUGGCGUGGGGCCUCUGCCAGAAGUUGAGGGACGUCAUGUAAUGGGCUGUGUGCCCAUAUGUCCCUCAACUGCCUGGCAAGUGUCCUAGGAUGCUUACAUUGGUAAGUGUGGUGAAGUCCUAAAAUAUUUCAAUACAGAUUAUAAAGUACACGAAAUAAUAAAAUACCCUUCAUUUGGUACAAUAAAAACCACAACAGUGGUGACUAAUAGACUGCUGUUGAGAAGGCAUUCCACAGAUAGGUCUCCACCACUGAAAAGUCCUUCUUAGUCACAUUCAUCACUUUGUUUGGGUAUAUAGAGAAAAGGACAAUCCUUAGGUAAUUUGUAAUUUGAAAACUGAUGAACAGUUCCAAAGCUUGCAUUUCUAACUAAAUUUUAUUGGACCAAUAAAAGUACUUUUAUACUUUACGUAUUUUAUCUUUUACUUUCAUUUUAGGUGACAAGUUUUUUAAAAAAAAAUCCUAAUAAAGAAUAACACAACCAUUUAAGGUAAAAUUUUACCACUAAGGAUGGACUUUUACCACAGUUCAAGGAAGACUAGGUCCUUUUCCACACAGUGUGAUCUCAGAUAACCCAGUUCAAUGCAGAUAUUGUGGAUUAUUUGCCUUGAUAUUCUGGGUUAUAUGGCUGUGUGGAAGGGCCCUACAUUACACUUUGUUCUUCCAGAUAUUACCUAAUACAAUUUGACUUCAACUGAUUGUUUUGGUCAGUCCACUAUCUGCAUUUAAUCUCCAAAGCUAUACUUUAGUUUUGCUGAUCUGAUAAGUGCCAUGUUAUUUCUGAUCAAAUUCAGCAUAGGAGCCACACAAUUCAACUAAAAAGCAACUGAAAGAUCACUCCCUCUAUAUUAUUAUUAUUAUUAUUAUUAUUAUUAUUAUUAUUAUUAUUAUUAUUAUUAUUAUUUUAUUAUUAAGCAAUUAAUUCCACAUCCCUUGAAGGAUAACAUGAUUUUUAAAAAGCUUAUCACACUGAAUCCUCAAGCCUUUAGUCUCUAUUACAGACUUUAGUAACUACAAAAACAUGGCUAUAAUAUCUGACCAGUGUGAUUUCUGAACAUUUCUACUCUCUCCACCUUGCAUUUUUUGUAACACCUACCAUAUAAAGAGUUUUGAAAAGAACCCCCAAAAUGUUCAUUCUAUUAAAUUAUUUAUUGGUAUAAUUAAAAAUAUACUCAAUAAAAGUAUUAUCCAGCUCUUCAUUUCCUUUAGGACAGAUUGAUCCUUACCAUUGAAGGGUGGUGGGGAUAGUAGAAAAAUAUUAACUAAUUCAUUAAAUUACAGAUUCUUUAUAUUUCUGCUAAUUUGGCUGCACUCCACAGAUUUUUUGAGUGUUGAAGUUAAACCUGUAAUUUUACAAAUUAAUUGUUUUGGAUCAUUAGAUUCAUUAUUAAGUGGUAUGGUGGCACUGUUUCUGCCAUUUUCCAUAAAUACGAAGAAUACAGAAAGCAAUCAGCAAGAAAAUACAGGAAGCAAGACUAUGGUGGUACAACCAUGUCAUGAGAAGAGAACCAACAUCAGUAGCACAAACAGUACUACAUUUGGUGAUUGCAGGACAACGUGGAUCACCAAAGAAAAGAUGGCUGGACACCAUCAACAAAUUCAUGCAUGCUGCCAACCUGAGACCCGAGAAUGCCCAAAACAAAGCUCUGUGGAACUGACAGUCUCAGUGUUAACCCUUCUCUUGGGAAAAUAGCUUAGAAAGAAGAAGAAUGAAUUCUGAUGGUGGCAUAGAGGCUAAAUCCCCACCCACAGUUUCUUCCUCAGCUAAAAUUGGCCUAAAAGGCACCAAAUCCAUUCUGAUCUUGGAUGGAACACAAGCAAAGUCAGCUGUAGUUUGUACUUGGGUGAAAGUUCAUAAACAAAUGGAAAGUGCUGUAGGUUGUAUUUCAGAUAAGACCUGACAAAAUCACCUCUGUGUAUUCCUUGCCUAAUAAAACUCUAUGAAAUUCA
Anolis carolinensis (green anole) is the source of this 6994-nucleotide long non-coding RNA. RefSeq lists it as uncharacterized. The transcript has 3 exons. The record is from RefSeq and is a predicted model, not a curated record. NCBI's taxonomy places the organism in Eukaryota, Metazoa, Chordata, Lepidosauria, Squamata, Anolidae.